RNAcentral lists this ribosomal RNA (433 nucleotides) under uncultured bacterium. RNAcentral's name for it is "partial 16S ribosomal RNA". It matches the Rfam family "Bacterial small subunit ribosomal RNA", at positions 28 to 507 of the family's 1533-position model. The record is from RNAcentral.
GGUGAACGUUGGCGGUGCGUCUAAUACAUGCAAGUCGAGCGAGGCUUCGAGCCGAGCGGCAGACGGCUGAGUAACACGUUGGUAACUACCCCAAACUCAUGGAUAACGCCGAGAAAUCGGUGCUAAUACCGGAUGGUCCUGUAAGGGUAAAGCUUUUACGGUUUGAGAGGUGCCUGCGUCCUAUCAGGUAGUUGGUGAGGUAACGGCUCACUAAGCCUAUGACGGGUAACUGGUCUGAGAGGAUGACCAGUCAGAGGGAAACUGAGACACGGUUCCCACUUCUACGGAAGGCAGCAGUAAAGAAUCUUCCACAAUGGACGAAAGUCUGAUGGAGCGACACCGCGUGCAGGAUGAAGGCCCUUGGGUCGUAAACUGCUUUUUUGGGGGAAAAAUUCUGAUUGUACCCUAAGAAUAAGCACCGGCAAAUCACGUG